RNAcentral lists this unclassified non-coding RNA (381 nucleotides) under Hevea brasiliensis (rubber tree). Lineage: Eukaryota; Viridiplantae; Streptophyta; Magnoliopsida; Malpighiales; Euphorbiaceae. The record is from RNAcentral.
UAUGGCUCAUGUGUGGGCUAAUAAAAUCGAAAAACAACCUCAUUAGAUGGGGCUUUUUAUAUGUUUUGGAGAGGCUUCUUAUGCGCUGCAAGUUUUUAUUAGAUGAAAGUGAAGUCCAACACGCAAUUAGUGGUGAAAUGGUUGGAGAUCUGCAUAAUAAAAGUCGUCUCGAGAAAGCAAAUGCAGUCAUUGAUAUCAUGAACAGUGCGUUGUCCCUGAUGGCCCAGAUAAAUGAAACCGACCGCAUGAAUAUACUAAAGAUGUGUGAAAUUCUUUUUUCUCAACUGUGCCUAAAAGUCCCCACUUCAACGGUGACAUCUAUGGAUGAUCCUACAAUCUGUAUCAAAGACGUUAGCUGGAAUAAGAAGCUUGGUCCAGGAG